UCCAGUUCUCGUUAGAUCACCGAAGUCAAGCAUCAUUGGGCGCGGUCAGUACUUGGGUGGGGGACCACCUGGGAACACCGCGUGCCGUUG
Non-coding RNA from Caerostris darwini, 90 nucleotides. The record is from the annotation of a GenBank genome assembly. NCBI's taxonomy places the organism in Eukaryota, Metazoa, Arthropoda, Arachnida, Araneae, Araneidae.